UUUUUAUUUUAAUUACAUAUCUUUCAACUCCAGAACUUCUAUUUGUCUUUUUUGUAAAAUUCCUAUUUUUCAAUAUCAUCUUAGAGUAAUGUUACUGUCACAUUUGGGUAUCCCAGUAGUUAGUAGGACAACAGUGAUUAUAAGGCCUUCAUUAAGGGUCUCUUUCCCUAAUACACAGCUGCUAUGUUCUAACUGAUGACCAAUUCUGACCAAUUGUGCCGUUGUUUUCACUGAUGCGAUGGGGCAUGCCCAUCACAGGUUAAUCAAAUUUAGAGUCCUUUAAAGCACGGGCCCCCAACCAUUACCAGUCUGUGGCUAGUUAAGAUCUGGGCCACAUAGCAGAAAGUGAGUGGCUGGUGAGGGAGCUUAUUGCCUGAGUUCCGCCUCCUAUCAGAUCAGCAGCAUUAGAUUCAAAUAAGAGAGUGAACCCUACUGUGAACCAUGCAUGCAAAGGACCUAGGUUGUGCACUCUUUAGGAGAGUCUAAUGCUUGAUGAUCUGAGGUGGAACAGUUUCAAGCCGAAACCAUCCCCCACUGUCCGAGGAAAAACUGUCUUCCACGAAACUGGUCCUUGGUGCGGAAAAUGUUGGGAAACUGCUGCUUUAAAGGGACAGUUGCUGAGGAUUCCCAAGAUUGAGGGUUAAGCAGUGUCUUCCUUCCCAAGGCUUCUGCUGGGUAGGUCUGUAACAUCAUGGGAACUUUCUUUGAAGGUUAGGAAAGGAAAACAAUCUCAGAAGAGCUGGUUAAAAUGUAUCAAAGCAGUUGAUUAUUCUAGCUUCUUCCACACCAGGGGAAUAUCUUACCUAUACAUAAAAGAUUCUCUUCCCUUAGUAAGUUCUGUUAUUGCUUCCUACCCUGGGAAAGACAUCACAUGAUAAAAUAAUAACUGAGAAUAGAAAAUGAAUCAAAUUACUUUUGCAAAAAUUCCCAUUCUUUAUUGUACCAGAUAUGUUUUUCAAUAUUCCAUUGAAAUGAUAUAUUUUUAAAUCAUAUGAUUAUUUGUUCUAUUUUCAUCUCAUUUCUAUCACCCAUUGUAGUUCCCUAUGAGAGAUUUUUUUAUGUGGAUAUUUAUUGACCUUGUUCUCCAAGUUACCCAAGAGAAGGGUGGGUAUGAAUGAGAUUAUUGACAUCAGUAUGGAAAUGAGUUUGAGAAGCUCUUUGACGACAAAGGAAUACAUGAAAGUUUAUCUAAGUUGUAAAGAUUACUAAAGGUCGUAAGUUUCUGCUAUGGUUUUAGCCAACUUUUAAAAAGUCAGACUAUGUUAAGUAGAACCGGAUGAAACAAAUGUAAGAAUAUUGAAAGGCCAUAAAAGUUAGGAGCCUUUGAGGAAAAUGACAAUUUCUUUUGAGUUAGUGUUCAGCAGCAAAUGUAUUAAUAAUAUGUAAGUAUAACUCUUAACUUCACUCAAAUCUAGACUUCUGAUGGUAUUUUUUUAAAAAAAAACACAGGUCAUGAAUUAUAGUGAGGACUUGCCAUAAGAAAAUUGGACUUAGCAGCUUGCUAUUGAUCCAUUCAAUGAGUAGUAACAAACAUUUCUUUUCAUCGGCUUUGCAUCUGCACAUUUAUCUGUUUCGAAAGCCAAUUCGAUAAAGCCUCUUAUUUGACAUUACCUUUCCAUGUUCUAUACUAUUUGUUUUGGUUAGAUUGAACUACGACUGUUGAUACAGUUUCCUGAGGGCAUUGGUAUACUUACCAUUGCAGAGUUAUUUAUUUCACAAGACUUCUUCUUUGUCCCUUUCAAAACUGCCAUCUUUUCCACUGUGAAAUGGCCUGGAUUUGCAAGCAGGAUGAUAACUUUGGUAUCUCAUUGUGCCAUCACCUUAUAACACUUGCUAUGCUUACAUAACUUUUCAAUUAUGUGACCCUAUUCAAUAUUAUGAUGAGGGAGCUGAAAUGAGAUUUUUUCUCAGGUAUCUUAUCCACUUUCAUGUAGAAAUUCUAAUCUUUGCACGAAUAGCAAAAUUAGUGUUUUGGUAACACAAACAUUGAAGCCUCUGAAUUUUAAAAAAGGAGAUUCUCAACUUGAGAAAGAAUACAGGCUCUAAACUUCCAAUUAUAUGUGAUAAAUCACUAAAAAUGAAGCCAUAAUGUAUGUGCGUGUAUGUUUAUAAUCUCUCAGGAUUUAGUGAAUUUGCAGACAUAAAUUUGCUUCUGACUUAUAAAAUCGAGAGUUGGAAACCCUUCAGUAAGCGGAAUGAAAGGAACAAUGAAAUAGUUUAAUGCCUCCAGGUGUUCCUUACCCCCAGCCGUGCUUUCUUUUGCUGCUUUCUGUCUUGUCUUCUUCAACACUCUUGAACAUGUAAUGUAUAAUUGUGAUCCAGCAUAGCAUAGAGGUUCAAAAUGUAGACCUCCAAACAAGUCAUCUGUAUUCAAGUCCCAAAUCUGCCUCUAAGCGGCUAGGUAGCCUUAAACAAAACUUAAUCUCUCUGUGUUUUAAUGACCUUAAAUGGAAAAUACGAAAAAAAAAAAUAGUACUUGCUCAUAGGAUUGUGGUUAGUUUUAAAUGAGAUAGAAUAUUUUUAAUGGUUACUUAAGAUAUAAAUGUCAGUUAUUGUUAAUAUCUGCCAUUACCAUAUUUGAUGGCCAUCUAUUGUUUUGUCUGUGUAAUAUCCCUACUAUUUUCUUGUCUUUAAGUCUCCUUGAGAAAUUUCUUUCCUUAUUGUGGUUUUCUUAGACUCUUACUCAAGACGAUUUGUCCUGCUCAAGCCAAGCAGUGACCAUGAGACAAACCUCCUAGGGCAAUCAAUCUCCACUCCAUGUAAUUAAAAAAAAAAAAAGUCAACAAUACUGCAUUUCAUGCUUAAACAUUUGCUAAGGGAGUAGAUCUUAUGUCACGUGUUCUUAUCACAAAUAAUAUUUAUAAGAGAAUGGGAGAAAACUUCUGGAGGUGAUGCAUAGGUUUGUGGCAUAGAUUGUGGUGAUGGUUUCACAGGUGUAUAUUUAUCACUAAACUCAUCAUGUUGUAUACCUAAAUUAUACAGCUUUUUGUAUGUCAAAUUUAAAAAAUAUUAUAAAGAGACUAGUAACAUUAGACACAUUUCCAAAGCACAGAAAACAGCAUGUAAUGAUGUGUUAUUUACAUGUGGUACACAAGUAUUGGGUCCACAUUUAUAAUUUUUUACACCUAUAUAAACUCCUAUAACUAUCCCCUAUCUAAAGAUAAAGAGGACUUUCUAUACCACAGAAACUGCUUUAUGCUCUCUUCCAGUCACUACCCAUAAGAUAACCAAUAUACUGAUUUCUAUUAUCAUAGGAUAUUUUUGUAUAUUUUUGAAGUUUAUAUAAAUGUGUUCAUAAGAUAUAUACUUAUAUCAUUUUUGACAACAAUAUGUCUGAAGUUCAUUCAUGUAAUAUAGCACUAGUCUUUUUGCUCUGCUGUGCAGUAUCUGAUUGUAGGAAUAUACCACAUUUUAUGUUUUCUCUUGCAGAUGAGCAUUUGGAUUUGCUAAUUAUGAAUAAAACUGCUGUGAACAUGCUGGUAUAUAUCUUUGAAUGAGCAAAUGCAACUAUUUCCAUUAGUAUUUUCCCAUUAGUGUGAUUGUUGGAUCAUAGAAUAUGAUGUAUAAAAUACUAUGUUAAGAGACAGUGUCAAAUGGUUUUUCACAUAAGUUAAAUUGUAUGUCUACCACCAUUAAGUGAGAAUUAAAACUGUUCUAUUUCAUCAUCAAUAUUUGGUAUCAUUAGUCUUUUUAAUUGCCUUAUGAGUGGGAAUGUAGUGAUAUGUCAGUGGAAUUUUAUUUUAUAUUUCCCUAAUGACUACUUAUGUUGUUAAAUUUUCUACAAUUUUUCAGCCAUUUGGAUAUCAACUUUUGUGAUGUACCUAUUCACGUAUUUUCUUCAGUUUUUAUUACAUUAUCAAUCAUUUUCUAAUGACUUAUAGGAAUUCUUUAUAUGUUCUAGAUAUGAGUCAAUUGCUGAACCAUUCAUUGCAACUAUCUUUUCCCAAAUCAUGGUUGCAUUUUCAUUAUUUUAAUGUUGUCUUUUGUUGAACAGAAGUUCUCAGUUUUAUUGAAGUUUAUUUUGUCUUUUUUCCUCAUUUUAUGUUUAGGGAUUUUGUAGUCUGCAUAAGAAAUCCUUACCUACAUCAAGGUCAUGAAGAUAAUAAUUCUAUAUGUUUGGUUCUUGAAGAUUUAUUGUUCUAUCUUUCACAUUUAUGUCUGUGGUCAAUAUAAAAUUAAAUUUUAUGUGUACUGUGUAACUCAGCAUCAUUUAUUAAAAGACUAUAUUUCCCCAAAGAAUUAUAGUAGUACUUUUGUCACAAAUCAAGUGAUUUUGUGUAUUGGUUCCAUCUCUGUACUUUUAAAAAUUAUAUUCAAUUGGACCAUUUUUCUAUCCUUACUCCAACGUUUAUAAUAAUUUAAUUAUUUUAAUUUUAUAAUAUUAUCUGAUUAUAUAAUAGCUUAAAUUCCCCAGCAUUGAUUUCUUCUUUAUGAAUACCUUGGCUAUUCUAGGUCCUUUAUAUUUUCAUACAAAAUUUAGAAUUAGCACCUCAAUUCCCACAAAAAUAAAAUACUGAUAUGUUGACUGGAACUUUAAAAAAAUCUAUUGGCCAAUUAAGAGGACUGCAUAUAUUAACAUUGAGUCUUACAAAUUAUUAUCAUGGCACAACCCUUCUAAAUUUAUAUCUUUAUUAUUUUCACUAUUUUAUAGUUUUUAGUGGAAAGGUCUUGAACAUACUUCGCUAGAUUUAUUAAUAGUUACAUGGUAAUAUCUUAAAUGGUAUUUAUGUUUAAUUUUCUAUUUGUUUAUUGUGAUUACAUAAAACUCAAUUUUUAUCUUAUGAUGGCUUAUGCCAAAUAUAUAUUUUAAUUUUUCUAUGUGUACAUUUAUGAGUGUUUUCAAAAUACAAUAUUCAUGUCAUUUUUCCCUUUGUCAUGUCAUGGUGACUGGAAUAUCUAAGAAAAUGGUAAGUUGAACUGAUGAAAGUAUAUAUGCUUCUCUUGUCCUUAACCUCACUGUGAAAGUGAAAAGCUCUUUUUAAUCUCUAAUUUACUGAGAAUUUUCAUCAUGAAGAGUAUUAAUUUUUAAUCAAUGUUUUUUCUGCAACUAUACAAGUGGUUACAUAUUUUUUCUCCUUUACUCUUAUUAGAUUAUUUUAAAUUAUUUUAUGUACUUUACCUCAACUUUCAAAAUUAUCAGAAUAAAAUUGUUAAUAAUAUCUCCAUUGUAUAUUUUGAUGUUUACAUAUUUG
Molecule: long non-coding RNA, 5192 nt
Filed under: Homo sapiens (human)
Lineage: Eukaryota; Metazoa; Chordata; Mammalia; Primates; Hominidae
Description: HSALNT0167860
Source: RNAcentral